GUUGGUAUUCGAUUUCAGCUGGCUACAUGUAACCACACGUGUUAGCAAGCAUAUUUUAUCCGACGGGGAACACGAGAUUUGAAGAUACUUUACAGAGAAUUCCAACGUUGUUUCCAAAGUGGUUUUUGCUGCUUUUUCGCUGGACACAGUCAAUUGCUUUUCAACUUCAGGAACUACUGCAAGUUCUGGGGUAAUGGUAAUGGAUGACUGCUCCACGGGAAUAUCAGAUGCUGGAAUAGUGUCAGGCAAAGUUUGAGGAUUUAAUAUUUGAUUUUCUAGAGCAGGCAAUAAGUUUUCAAUCCAUGGAUCAACCACAAUCUCCAGUCCUACAGCAUCAUCUGCCCAUCCUGAUUUGUAAAAUUGCUUCGCUCCAAGUUUUUGAAGUUGCUUUUCAACACUCUUGGGAUAGCCCAAAAACGUUGUGUAGUUUGUGUCACCCAAACCGAGCAGAGCAUACACCAAAUGACACAAGUAAUCAUUUUCCAAGUUCUUUGAUCUAAUCUUCUUCCAAAAAAUGCCUGCAUUUUCAGGAGGAUCUCCAUCACCAGUCCUGGCAAAUUUUAAUUUUUUCCUUAUUGCACUUUGCUGAGAUGCACCAAAAUGGGAAUCUGAAAUAGUUGAUGAGCAAAUACUACUUUGUAACAAAUCACAACAAAACAUGCAAACAAUGUGAUAAUAAAACCUUUUCAACUGAGUCAUCCAUGG
Molecule: long non-coding RNA, 705 nt
Organism: Daphnia carinata
Lineage: Eukaryota; Metazoa; Arthropoda; Branchiopoda; Diplostraca; Daphniidae
Exons: 3
Source: RefSeq, a predicted model, not a curated record